Molecule: ribosomal RNA, 317 nt
Filed under: uncultured Serratia sp.
Lineage: Bacteria; Pseudomonadati; Pseudomonadota; Gammaproteobacteria; Enterobacterales; Yersiniaceae
Description: bacterial SSU rRNA
Rfam family: Bacterial small subunit ribosomal RNA
Source: RNAcentral
GUCGAGCGGUAGCACAAGAGAGCUUGCUCUCUGGGUGACGAGCGGCGGACGGGUGAGUAAUGUCUGGGAAACUGCCUGAUGGCGGGGGAUAACUAGUGGAAACGGUAGCUAAUACCGCAUAACGUCGCAAGACCAAAGUGGGGGACCUUCGGGCCUCACGCCAUCAGAUGUGCCCAGGUGGGAUUAGCUGGUAGGUGGGGUAACGGCUCACCUAGGCGACGAUCCCUAGCUGGUCUGAGAGGAUGACCAGCCACACUGGAACUGAGACACGGUCCAGACUCCUACGGGAGGCAGCAGUGGGGAAUAUUGCACAAUGG